CCAUAGGUUGUACUGACAACCACUCAUAGGUAUUUAGAAAGAGAC
Molecule: non-coding RNA, 45 nt
Organism: Anolis carolinensis (green anole)
Lineage: Eukaryota; Metazoa; Chordata; Lepidosauria; Squamata; Anolidae
Source: Rfam